AGCGGCGGACGGGUGAGUAAUACGUGAGAAUCUGCCUUUUAGUGGAGAAUACCUUCGAGAAAUUGAAGUUAAUACUGCAUAAGUCCUUCGGGAGAAAGAUGGCCUCUUUGCUGUCGCUAAAAGAUGAGCUCACGCACUAUCAGCUAGUUGGUGGGGUAAAGGCCUACCAAGGCUAUGACGGUUAGCCGGCCUGAGAGGGUGUACGGCCACACUGGAACUUAGACACGGUCCAGACUCCUACGGGAGGCAGCAGUGGGGAAUAUUGCGCAAUGGGCGAAAGCCUGACGCAGCGACGCCGCGUGGAGGAUGAAGGUCUUCGGAUUGUAAACUUCUGUUAAGUGGGAAGAAAAAUUUACGUUUAAUACACGUAGGCUAUGACGGUACCAUUAGAGAAAGCACCGGCUAACUUCGUGCCAGCAGCCGCGGUAAUACGAAGGGUGCGAGCGUUAUUCGGAAUUAUUGGGCGUAAAGGGUGUGUAGACGGUAUAUUAAGUCUGUUGUUAAAUCUUCUGGCCUAACCAGAAAUCUGCAGUAGAUACUGAUGUGCUAGAGGGUGGAAGAGAGAAGUGGAAUUCUCGGAGUAGCGGUAAAAUGCGUAGAUCUCGAGAGGAACACCAAUGGCGAAGGCAGCUUCUUGGUCCAUACCUGACGUUGAGGCACGAAAGCGUGGGGAGCAAACAGGAUUAGAUACCCUGGUAGUCCACGCUGUAAACGAUGAUCACUAGA
Molecule: ribosomal RNA, 726 nt
Filed under: uncultured bacterium
Lineage: Bacteria
Description: bacterial SSU rRNA
Rfam family: Bacterial small subunit ribosomal RNA
Source: RNAcentral